RNAcentral lists this ribosomal RNA (405 nucleotides) under Odocoileus virginianus (white-tailed deer). RNAcentral's name for it is "SSU rRNA". It matches the Rfam family "Eukaryotic small subunit ribosomal RNA", at positions 1184 to 1605 of the family's 1831-position model. Lineage: Eukaryota; Metazoa; Chordata; Mammalia; Artiodactyla; Cervidae. The record is from RNAcentral.
UGCGGCUUAAUUUGACUCAACACGGGAAACCUCACCCGGCCCGGACACGGACAGGAUUGACAGAUUGAUAGCUCUUUCUCGAUUCCGUGGGUGGUGGUGCAUGGCCGUUCUUAGUUGGUGGAGCGAUUUGUCUGGUUAAUUCCGAUAACGAACGAGACUCUGGCAUGCUAACUAGUUACGCGACCCCCGAGCGGUCGGCGUCCCCCAACUUCUUAGAGGGACAAGUGGCGUUCAGCCACCCGAGAUUGAGCAAUAACAGGUCUGUGAUGCCCUUAGAUGUCCGGGGCUGCACGCGCGCUACACUGACUGGCUCAGCGUGUGCCUACCCUACGCCGGCAGGCGCGGGUAACCCGUUGAACCCCAUUCGUGAUGGGGAUCGGGGAUUGCAAUUAUUCCCCAUGAACG